RNAcentral lists this ribosomal RNA (468 nucleotides) under uncultured bacterium. Its description in RNAcentral is "partial 16S ribosomal RNA". It matches the Rfam family "Bacterial small subunit ribosomal RNA", at positions 28 to 507 of the family's 1533-position model. The record is from RNAcentral.
GACGAACGCUGGCGGCGUGCUUAACACAUGCAAGUCGAACGGAAAGGCCCUGCUUUUGUGGGGUGCUCGAGUGGCGAACGGGUGAGUAACACGUGAGUAACCUGCCCUUGACUUUGGGAUAACUUCAGGAAACUGGGGCUAAUACCGGAUAGGAGCUCCUGCUGCAUGGUGGGGGUUGGAAAGUUUCGGCGGUUGGGGAUGGACUCGCGGCUUAUCAGCUUGUUGGUGGGGUAGUGGCUUACCAAGGCUUGGACGGGUAGCCGGCCUGAGAGGGUGACCGGCCACAUUGGGACUGAGAUACGGCCCAGACUCCUACGGGAGGCAGCAGUGGGGAAUAUUGCACAAUGGGCGGAAGCCUGAUGCAGCAACGCCGCGUGCGGGAUGACGGCCUUCGGGUUGUAAACCGCUUUCGCCUGUGACGAAGCGUGAGUGACGGUAAUGGGUAAAGAAGCACCGGCUAACUACGUG